RNAcentral lists this unclassified non-coding RNA (297 nucleotides) under plant metagenome. RNAcentral describes it as "partial contains small subunit ribosomal RNA, internal transcribed spacer 1, and 5.8S ribosomal RNA". The stretch from base 1 to 53 matches the Rfam family "Eukaryotic small subunit ribosomal RNA", at positions 1778 to 1831 of the family's 1831-position model. The record is from RNAcentral.
GGAAGUAAAAGUCUAACAAGGUUUUCGUAGGUGAACCUGCGGAAGGAUCCUUACCGAGCGAGUGCCCUCUGGCUCCAUUCUCCCACCCGUCUCUCUUGUAUCUCGUUGCUUCGGCGGGCCCGCCUGGCGGCCGGCGAGGGGCAUCUCACUACCGGGCGCCUACCUGCCGGAGACAUCCCCGGAAUCUACCUGAAGAAAGACGUCUGACUGAAAUGAAUAAGUAUUUAAAAAUUUCAACAACGAACCUCUUGGUUCCGGCAACGACGAAGAACGAAGCCGAUCGGAAAAGCACAAGUC